UGCAGCCUGCAACUCGGCUGCAUGAAGCUGGAAUCGCUAGUAAUCGCGGAUCAGAACGCCGCGGUGAAUACGUUCCCGGGUCUUGUACACACCGCCCGUCACACCAUGGGAGCCGGAAACGCCCGAAGCCAGCGGCCCAACCGCAAGGGGGGAGCUGUCGAAGGCGGGGCCGGUGACCGGGGUGAAGUCGUAACAAGGUAAC
This 202-nucleotide ribosomal RNA is filed under the name uncultured bacterium. Its description in RNAcentral is "partial 16S ribosomal RNA". It matches the Rfam family "Bacterial small subunit ribosomal RNA", at positions 1299 to 1500 of the family's 1533-position model. The record is from RNAcentral.